AGCUGGUCCAGUGGUAGUGGGUCAUCAGAACUUAUUAACAUUAGUGUCACUAAAGUUGUUACACAACCCCCCACUGCUAAAUUUGACUGGCUAAAA
This 96-nucleotide Y RNA is filed under the name Prolemur simus (greater bamboo lemur). Its description in RNAcentral is "Y RNA (ENSPSMG00000011441.1)". It matches the Rfam family "Y RNA". From Rfam's summary of the family: Y RNAs are components of the Ro ribonucleoprotein particle (Ro RNP), in association with Ro60 and La proteins. The record is from Rfam by way of RNAcentral. Lineage: Eukaryota; Metazoa; Chordata; Mammalia; Primates; Lemuridae.